Molecule: ribosomal RNA, 429 nt
Filed under: Acanthamoeba sp.
Lineage: Eukaryota; Discosea; Longamoebia; Acanthamoebidae
Description: SSU rRNA
Rfam family: Eukaryotic small subunit ribosomal RNA
Source: RNAcentral
GCCCAGAAUCGUUUACCGUGAAAAAAUUAGAGUGUUCAAAGCAGGCAGAUUUAACUUUCUGCCACCGAAUACAUUAGCAUGGGAUAAUGGAAUAGGACCCUGUCCUCCUAUUUUCAGUUGGUUUUUGAGGACCAGGGUAAUGAUUAAUAGGGAUAGUUGGGGGCAUUAAUAUUUAAUUGUCAGAGGUGAAAUUCUUGGAUUUAUGAAAGAUUAACUUCUGCGAAAGCAUCUGCCAAGGAUGUUUUCAUUAAUCAAGAACGAAAGUUAGGGGAUCGAAGACGAUCAGAUACCGUCGUAGUCUUAACCAUAAACGAUGCCGACCAGCGAUUAGGAGACGUUGAAUACAAAACACCACCAUCAGACGGCGGAGCAUCUUCACGCAAGUGAGGGUGGUUCGUUUCUCUGGUGGCCCGGUGAAUGACUCCCUAG